RNAcentral lists this transfer RNA (85 nucleotides) under Felis catus (domestic cat). It matches the Rfam family "tRNA". Rfam says of the family: Transfer RNA (tRNA) molecules are approximately 80 nucleotides in length. Their secondary structure includes four short double-helical elements and three loops (D, anti-codon, and T loops). The record is from Rfam by way of RNAcentral. Lineage: Eukaryota; Metazoa; Chordata; Mammalia; Carnivora; Felidae. RNAcentral also lists the same sequence under 2 other names.
ACCUGGGUGGCUCAGUCGGUUGAGCAUCUGACUUUGGCUCAGGUCAUGAUCUCAGGGUUCGUGGGGUCGAGCCCCACGUCGGGCU